Molecule: ribosomal RNA, 440 nt
Filed under: uncultured bacterium
Lineage: Bacteria
Description: partial 16S ribosomal RNA
Rfam family: Bacterial small subunit ribosomal RNA
Source: RNAcentral
CCUACGGGUGGCUGCAGUGGGGGAUAUUGCACAAUGGGGGAAACCCUGAUGCAGCGACACCGCGUGGGUGAAGAAGCGCCUCGGCGCGUAAAGCCCUGUCAGCAGGGAAGAAAAUGACGGUACCUGAAGAAUAAUCCCCGGCUACCUACGUGCCAGCAGCCGCGGUAAUACGUAGGGGGCAAGCGUUAUCCGGAUUUACUGGGUGUAACGGGGGCGCAGACGGCGAUGCAAGCCAGGAGUGAAAGCCCGGGGCCCAACCCCGGGACUGCUCUUGGAACUGCGUGGCUAGAGUGCAGGAGGGGCAGGCGGAAUUCCUGGUGUAGCGGUGAAAUGCGUAGAUAUCAGGAGGAACACCGGUGGCGAAGGCGGCCUGCUGGACUGCAACUGACGUUGAGGCCCGAAAGCGUGGGGAGCAAACAGGAUUAGAUACCCCUGUAGUC